This 1957-nucleotide long non-coding RNA is filed under the name Mastacembelus armatus (zig-zag eel). RNAcentral describes it as "lncRNA (ENSMAMG00000028613.1)". Lineage: Eukaryota; Metazoa; Chordata; Actinopteri; Synbranchiformes; Mastacembelidae. The record is from RNAcentral.
GAUUCUGAUGAACUAUCAAAAUGUUUUUUGUUCUACGUUUGGUAAAUGGCCCUAGUUGUCAUGCAAUCUUAAACACAUUAAAGGUGAAAAAGCUUUUCUUCAAAGACUCAUUCAAAGCCGUGACUAAUCCUGCUCGCUCUCUCUCAUCUAAGGCAAGGCCUCACUAAUCAGAGCAGCCCUGUCAAGUCCCCUCUAUAGUCAGCUUACUACUGGGCCUCUGUCUUUAAACCUGAUCCUCUCCUUCUACUAGCAUGAUUUAAGGUUGGAGGUCUGGUGAAGAGGCAGAUUAGCAUAGGGAGCUAAAAAAAUGCUAGCUAGUCCUAAAAUAUUUUUCUCUGUUCUUACCAGGGGCCUCCAGGUGUAACAGGAGAGCAGGGCCUACCUGUGAGUAUAAGGUUAUUGCGUUACAUGAAACACACACAAAACACAUAACAAUUAAAAUUAUAUAUAUAUAUAUAUAUAUAUAUAUAUAUAUAUAUAAAUUUUUUUUUUUUACUUUUUCAUAGGGAGCCCCAGGGCCAAAAGGAGAGCCAGGUGAAGGUGUGAAUGAGGUAAGAGACAUGAGUGGCUUUUCCUUCUAAGCUCAUUUGAGGAACUGUCCUGAAUAAACAUGAUGGUGUUGUUCAGGGCGAGGCCGUGCAACAGCUCAGGGAAGCCCUGAAGAUACUGGCCGAGAGAGUCCUGAUCCUGGAGCACAUGAUUGGCGUUCAUGAGAACUCUGAAGGAUCUGCAUUUGACAGUACAGGCAUUUUGGACCAACUGUCUUUCUCGGCCAUAAACGUCAGACGCCUUCAGCAUGUCCAAACCCCUCUUCAAAGUCCAAUACUAAAGGAGAGGCAAAGAAAAGCUCCGCUUUAAAAGCAGUCUAAAUUUUGUAUUUGUUUUUUAAUAAUUGUGAAAGAUGUUGCAAAUUUUGCUUAACUCGACGUACAGGUUUUGUGCACAUAAUUGUCUUUACAUAUGUUUAUUUUUUGAAGUUAUUUUUUUUGUCUUAUGAUCUUUUUUUUGUCACAAAUAAGUACUGCCCUUUGCAGACAUGAGAUGUUGAGCAUUUCAUUCAACGGAAAGGCCUUUUUUUAAAAAUUUUUUUAUUCCUGCUUCAUGAUCUUAGUCUACAUAACCUUAGCAACAGCAAUUACAAGACGUUGUUCACUGAAACAUAAUCUCAGAAAUUGUUAUGGAAGCGUUUGGCAUCUUUCUCUGCUCAGAUGAAAUACUGCCCAGGAAACACAGCGGUUCCCUUGGCUCAGAGCUCUUGAGAGCUGGACCCAAAAUGAACUAUUUAGUGUCAAACACAUUCUUGGAAUGACCUUGAGGUUCAUCUUGUGUUAGCCUGUCGAACAUAUUUCUUCCUCUCUCCUCUUUUCUGUCUCUCUCUUUGUGCUCUGCCUUGUUGAAACUGAGGUAAGACGUGACAAGCUGCCAAGAAUAUCUGUUUAAAAUAAAUUUAGGUAAAAUAAAUAGCAUCUGGAGAGCACACAUCUGGAAAGCAAAAGCAAGCAAUGCUGAAACAGUUGAGUUUUGGCCUAGAAACCCUGCUUGGCUCCAGCGUACCUUCAUGUAACUGGCUGACGGAGCGCAAACCUGACAGAAUUACACUUGACUUCUUCAUACACAUGUUUCCAAACUGAUAUGAUUAUCCUAUUUAAUAAGUCUCUGCGAGACCAUGCCUGUUACUCUCUGGAUAAAGCUUUCAUCAUGUCUGGUACAGUCUUCAUUUUCUACAUUACAAGAUUCAUGAGUUAAAUGAACAGUGUGGCAUUAAACAUGUUCACUUAUUUGUACAGGAGGGAGGAUUGAUAGCACUCUUAUCUUAUUUCUGUCUGUUUAAUAUGAAGCAGCUGAUUGGAAAUGAAAACAACUAACACAGUUCUCAUAAAAGACUUGUACUACCACGCUGGCUCACGCUGAUUUAUAACUUAGAGAUGGAGAAUUUGAGAACUUCUGACAGCAAUGC